GUCUACGGCCAUGUCACCCUGAACACGCCAGAGUUCGUCUGAUUUCGGAAGCUAGCCAGUGUCAGGCCUGAUUAGUACUUGGACGGGGUACUACAUGGGAAGACCAUGUGCUGUAGACA
Molecule: ribosomal RNA, 119 nt
Filed under: Pteropus alecto (black flying fox)
Lineage: Eukaryota; Metazoa; Chordata; Mammalia; Chiroptera; Pteropodidae
Source: RNAcentral